This 438-nucleotide long non-coding RNA is filed under the name Phoenix dactylifera (date palm). RNAcentral describes it as "long non-coding RNA (PDAC_LNC017891)". The record is from RNAcentral. Lineage: Eukaryota; Viridiplantae; Streptophyta; Magnoliopsida; Arecales; Arecaceae.
CAUAAAAGAUGUGUUACCCUCAUUAUUGCAUUUUAAUGAAUUAAUUCGAGUGUGAUUUAAUUAUUUAUUAAUUAAUCCUAAUGAAUGCAGGAUGAGUGAAACUCAUUUGGGAUGACCCUGAACCCAAAUCACAUGCACCCCAUGAAUCAGAUCCUCCCAACCAAUUAGAGUCGACCCCAAUUUUCAUUUCUCCGCACGCACGUGCCAUCCCAAACAAUUUAUGAAUACGAACAAGUCUCUCUCCUUCAUUUCCCAUGUCUGCAUUCUUCCGCGAAUCUCCCAGCUUCUUCUGCUAGAUCCCAACCCGGAUAAGCCGGAUUAGCUCCAUCUCCAGCCAUGCUUAUCUCCCAUGAAUAAGGUCCAAGCUCUUCCUCCUCAUCUUCGUCCACGUCCUCAACCGAAUCCAAUCCCUUCCCACAUUUUCUCCCAGCCACAUUU